Molecule: ribosomal RNA, 439 nt
Filed under: uncultured bacterium
Lineage: Bacteria
Description: bacterial SSU rRNA
Rfam family: Bacterial small subunit ribosomal RNA
Source: RNAcentral
UACGGAAGGCAGCAGUGGGGAAUAUUGCACAAUGGGCGCAAGCCUGAUGCAGCCAUGCCGCGUGUAUGAAGAAGGCCUUCGGGUUGUAAAGUACUUUCAGUCGUGAGGAAGGUGUUAAGGUUAAUAACCUUAGUAAUUGACGUUAGCGACAGAAGAAGCACCGGCUAACUCCGUGCCAGCAGCCGCGGUAAUACGGAGGGUGCGAGCGUUAAUCGGAAUUACUGGGCGUAAAGGGCACGCAGGCGGUUAAUUAAGUUGGAUGUGAAAUCCCCGGGCUUAACCUGGGAAUGGCAUUCAAGACUGGUUAGCUAGAGUCUUGUAGAGGGGGUAGAAUUCCAUGUGUAGCGGUGAAAUGCGUAGAGAUGUGGAGGAAUACCGGUGGCGAAGGCGGCCCCUGGACAAAGACUGACGCUCAUGUGCGAAAGCGUGGGGAGCAAAC